CAGUAGCCGCGGGAAUACAGAGGGUGCGAGCGUUAAUCGGAUUUACUGGGCGUAAAGCGUGCGUAGGCGGCUAAUUGAGUCGGAUGUGAAAUCCCAGAGCUUAACUUGGGAAUUGCAUUCGAUACUGGUUAGCUAGAGUGUGGGAGAGGAUGGUAGAAUUCCAGGUGUAGCGGUGAAAUGCGUAGAGAUCUGGAGGAAUACCGAUGGCGAAGGCAGCCAUCUGGCCUAACACUGACGCUGAGGUACGAAAGCAUGGGGAGCAAACAGGAUUAGAUACCCCUGUAGUCCCUGUCUCUUAUAC
Molecule: ribosomal RNA, 301 nt
Filed under: uncultured bacterium
Lineage: Bacteria
Description: partial 16S ribosomal RNA
Rfam family: Bacterial small subunit ribosomal RNA
Source: RNAcentral